GAUGAAGAACGUAGCGAAAUGCGAUAAGUAGUGUGAAUUGCAGAAUUCAGUGAAUCAUCGAAUCUUUGAACGCACAUUGCGCCCUCUGGUAUUCCGGAGGGCAUGCCUGUUCGAGCGUCAUUAAAACUACUCAAGCUAAGGUUUUACCUUCUGCUUGGUCUUGGGUUUGAGGAUUCAAAAUCCUCUCUCCGAAAUCCAGUGGCGAAUUGUUUGAGCUGUAGACGUAGUAAAACAUUCUAUUCUACCCGUUGCAAGCGAGAAUAAUAUUCAGCCAUAACCCCCAUACUUUUCUAGUUUGACCUCGGAUCAGGUAGGGAUACCCGCUGAACUUAAGCAUAUCAAUAAGCGGAGGA
This 353-nucleotide unclassified non-coding RNA is filed under the name soil metagenome. RNAcentral describes it as "partial contains 5.8S ribosomal RNA, internal transcribed spacer 2, and large subunit ribosomal RNA". The stretch from base 1 to 120 matches the Rfam family "5.8S ribosomal RNA", at positions 35 to 154 of the family's 154-position model. The record is from RNAcentral.